GCAAGUCGAACGGUAACAUUUCUAGCUUGCUAGAAGAUGACGAGUGGCGGACGGGUGAGUAAUGCUUGGGAACUUGCCUUUGCGAGGGGGAUAACAGUUGGAAACGACUGCUAAUACCGCAUAAUGUUUUCGAACCAAACGGGGCUUAGGCUCCGGCGCAAAGAGAGGCCCAAGUGAGAUUAGCUAGUUGGUAAGGUAACGGCUUACCAAGGCGACGAUCUCUAGCUGUUCUGAGAGGAAGAUCAGCCACACUGGGACUGAGACACGGCCCAGACUCCUACGGGAGGCAGCAGUGGGGAAUAUUGCACAAUGGGGGAAACCCUGAUGCAGCCAUGCCGCGUGUGUGAAGAAGGCCUUCGGGUUGUAAAGCACUUUCAGUUGUGAGGAAAAGUUAGUAGUUAAUACCUGCUAGCCGUGACGUUAACAACAGAAGAAGCACCGGCUAACUCCGUGCCAGCAGCCGCGGUAAUACGGAGGGUGCGAGCGUUAAUCGGAAUUACUGGGCGUAAAGCGCACG
This 517-nucleotide ribosomal RNA is filed under the name uncultured bacterium. Its description in RNAcentral is "bacterial SSU rRNA". It matches the Rfam family "Bacterial small subunit ribosomal RNA", at positions 57 to 571 of the family's 1533-position model. The record is from RNAcentral.